UUCACCCCAGUGAAAUGUUUUAUUUCUUUAGAAGAGUUGCUGUGGUCGUGGUGUCUCUUCAUAGCAACAGAGACCCUGACUGUGACACAUGGGAAGUUGGAACACAAGGGAAUGGUAGGAUUUGGUUCAGCAUUUGGCUCUUUGACACAAAUAUUGAUAAGUAGAAACUAGCUAUCUGGACAGAGUAGUGUAUGUAAAAACAAAACUGAACAAACAAGCCGCAACAACAAAACAAAAUCAAUGUGGGCAAACGUAAAAGAGGCACAAAACAGUUUUGAAGGGUUUUACUAUAUGCAAUAGGAACUAACUAUUAUCCCCAUUUUUACAGAUGAUGAAAUUAAGGUCUGGAAGAAGCUAGGCAAUGUCAGUGUAAGAGAAGGAGCAGAAGGAUAUAGAGGUAUAGGCAAAGCCUCAAUGUUAAGCUAACUGGUUUGAAUUAUUCUGCAGCACUCUCAGAUUAUUUAAGCAGGGAGUGACAUGCUCAGAUUUAGUCAUAAUAGGAAAGAGAAUGGUAAUGUCCAUGAUUGCAAAUGGAGGGUUUGGGGUAUUAGGAUAACUCAGUGAGAAUUAUGAGAUCAUAAAGCAGAACUCAGAGACUGCUUCCAUAAAGCAAAUGAAGGAAUAGGAUAAAUACUACAGUCAAUCCCUGGUGUACAAAUGGCACCAUGGAGUAAAUGACAGUUAAUUACAGGAAAGAAUACAAGAGGGACAGGAGGAGGCUGCGAGAAGAGAGGCUGGUGUCAUGAUAAGAAUGUAAGGUCUCAGCUACUCCUGAAGCACCACGCCUGCCUGCCUGCAGCCAUGCUCCCUACCAUGAUGGUCAUGAACUCACUCUCUGAAGCCGUAAGACCCCAAUAUACACCUUCUUCUAUAA
This is a non-coding RNA of Peromyscus maniculatus bairdii (prairie deer mouse), 874 nucleotides long. The record is from RefSeq and is a predicted model, not a curated record. NCBI's taxonomy places the organism in Eukaryota, Metazoa, Chordata, Mammalia, Rodentia, Cricetidae.